This 505-nucleotide ribosomal RNA is filed under the name uncultured bacterium. RNAcentral's name for it is "partial 16S ribosomal RNA". It matches the Rfam family "Bacterial small subunit ribosomal RNA", at positions 30 to 523 of the family's 1533-position model. The record is from RNAcentral.
AUUGAAUGCUGACGGCGUGGAUGAGGCAUGCAAGUCGCACGAAAGCUUUAAGCUUUAGUGGCGAAAGGGUUAGUAAUGCAUGGGCAAUCCACCUUUAACAUUGGGAUAACAACUGGAAACGGCUGCUAAUACCAAAUAUGGUGAGACAAGGCAUCUUGUCUUCAUUAAAGUGGGGGAUCUUCGGACCUCGCGGUUAAAGAGGAGCCCAUGUGAUAUCAGCUAGUUGGAGUGGUAACGGCACACCAAGGCUAAGACGUCUCGUCGGAUUGAGAGAUUGACCGCCAACACUGGGACUGAGACACUGCCCAGACUCCUACGGGAGGCUGCAGUCGAGAAUCAUUCGCAAUGGGCGCAAGCCUGACGAUGCGACGCCGUGUGGACGAUGAAGGCCUUCGGGUUGUAAAGUCCUUCCGCCUGGGAACAAGAGAUGCAUACUAAUACUGUGCAAAUUUGAGGGUACCAGGUAAAGAAGCACCGGCUAACUCCGUGCCAGCAGCCGCAGUAA